CGAAAGCCUGACGGAGCAAGACCGCGUGGGGGAGGAAUGCCUUAGGGUUGUAAACCCCUUUUAUCUGGGAAGAACAAAAUGACGGUACCAGAUGAAUAAGCCUCGGCUAACUCCGUGCCAGCAGCCGCGGUAAUACGGAGGAGGCAAGCGUUAUCCGGAUUUAUUGGGCGUAAAGCGUUCGCAGGUGGCGAUUCAAGUCUGCUGUCAAAGCGUGCAGCUCAACUGCAUAUAGGCAGUGGAAACUGUUGAACUAGAGUAUGGUAGGGGUAGGGGGAAUUCCCAGUGUAGCGGUGAAAUGCGUAGAGAUUGGGAAGAACACCGGUGGCGAAAGCGCUCUACUGGACGGCAACUGACACUCAGGGACGAAAGCUAGGGGAGCG
This 380-nucleotide ribosomal RNA is filed under the name uncultured cyanobacterium. Its description in RNAcentral is "bacterial SSU rRNA". It matches the Rfam family "Bacterial small subunit ribosomal RNA", at positions 376 to 770 of the family's 1533-position model. The record is from RNAcentral. Lineage: Bacteria; Bacillati; Cyanobacteriota.